Long non-coding RNA from Homo sapiens (human), 812 nucleotides. NCBI's taxonomy places the organism in Eukaryota, Metazoa, Chordata, Mammalia, Primates, Hominidae. The record is from Ensembl.
CUGACAGGUGCAGGGCCCUGCCCCUCGAGGGCCAGCCUCUCCCUCGGGAGCGUGGGUUUUUCCUGUUUGAUCCUGGCUUAACUUGAACAUCUCUGGCAUUGGAGCUGCCCUCUGGAGUAGCCCAGAAGUUGGCACUCACCUCACCUUUUGCUGCAUUUCCAAGAGAUCAGCCUUUGGACUUCCUGGAAAGUGGUAGAACCACUGUCCUAUGAAACAAAGUGCUUCUGUGCUGAAAUGGAGUAAGUUCCCUGCAGCCUCUGGCAAGGUAACCUACCGAGCACCUCCUGGAGUAGGUGUUCCUAUCAUCCUCUCUUUAUAGCUCAGGAGCCAAAGCUCAGCCAGCCCGAAGGAGCCAGGAUUAGAGCCUGCAUGGAUGCAACAGUCACGCUUCUCUCUAUUACGUGUCUUGCAACUUGGAGUCACAUGAUCUCAGCAUCUGAUCCACCCUGGGCUCAGAACCUCCCAGAACCUCCCAGAAUCGAGGCUCACGGCAGAGGUUCUGCACUCACCAAGGACGCGGGGGGACCAUGUCUGUGCUCAUGUGGAUCCCCGCUGCUGGGCAGAGCACACCACACAUCCAGACUCAACAAAAUACAUGGAGUCAAAGGUCAGGUGACUGAAUCAAUGAGUAUGUUACACACCAAGAAAGACCCCUCCUCUCUGCACCCCGGGGAGCAGCCCCAGAAGCCUGGUCUCCUCCAGGAUGAAAAUGCAAACGCAGGUGCCUGGGGGCUCCCAGAGCCUUUGGCUUCACGGUUCCCUCCCGGCCCUGCCUGGAGCUUCAUGUGCCUCCCCUUUUGCUUAAUGAGAGC